This 253-nucleotide ribosomal RNA is filed under the name uncultured bacterium. RNAcentral describes it as "partial 16S ribosomal RNA". It matches the Rfam family "Bacterial small subunit ribosomal RNA", at positions 524 to 776 of the family's 1533-position model. The record is from RNAcentral.
UACGAAGGGGUCUAGCGUUGCUCGGAAUUACUGGGCGUAAAGCGCACGUAGGCGGCUUUCUAAGUCGGGGGUGAAAUCCUGGAGCUCAACUCCAGAACUGCCUUCGAUACUGGAAAGCUCGAGUCCGGGAGAGGUGAGUGGAACUGCGAGUGUAGAGGUGAAAUUCGUAGAUAUUCGCAAGAACACCAGUGGCGAAGGCGGCGACCUGGGUAGAUACUGACGCUGAGGCGCGAAAGCGUGGGUAGCAAACGGG